GAUGUGAUCGCAUCCUGCAUUCUCCAAGUUAGCUGAAAUCCCCCGCGCACCGAAAAAUGCACAGACAUUCCCGCGAUCACUUAAGAUUUCUUAGAAGCUCUCGGCCUCCCCACUUAUCCAUUCGAUAACACCUUCAGGGUCGCCUCGUAUGAAGUUCUCAUCGGUAGAAUAGGCGCCCACGUUGGCGAAGCUAGCUUUUAUUUUCUCCACGCAGCCCAAGGAUUUUUCAAAUCAUCUUUCCUUGGAUGCGCAAAGUUCUUCAACAGUUUUCUCUAAAUGGUUUUUUCCAAUAUUCGCUGAUCUCUCGGUUAGCUUAUGCAAGUGCGCAUUUUUCUUUGGCUUCUGCCAACUGUUUCCGAAGGUCUUCAAUUUCAUUCUUUUGAAUUUCAGCUUGACCUUGAAACUAGCUUCAUCUUCUUUCACUUUGUUUGCCAAUGAAAUCAAGAUUUUGUCUUUUUCAAGACCUUCGUUUCUUAAUUCGAUUACCUCUGAACGAAGGUUGUUCAGAGCCAUCGUAUAUCCUUCAUCUUCAAUGUUUUUCUGUGCCCUAAGGGCAUUACUGAGAAUCAGGCCCUGCAAGUGGAGGAAAGAGUAAGUAUGACAAAUAAAAUACCCCAUUUUUAAAUUCAAAUGUAACUCUUAUACCUUUAUGCUUUUAUACGCUAAGCUGACAGUAAGCUCAUCCAUAGAUAAGAUUGAAAGGCCAUCUUCCAGCUUCGGGAAUCCAAUGCUUCUACCUAUCUCCCGGCAAACGAAUAUUUCUUUAUUAUCUGGGAGACAGUACAAAAAAUCUUCUUCCCCACUGCCAUUAAACACUAGUGCCCCUUCGGGUAUUUCAAUUUUUGGGCAUAGUGUCGUGCUUCUAGCUUUUCUUCUUGAGAAAGUCCCUUUCCCGAAGCAUGACCAAUGAUGUAAUCAGUGCUUUCUUUUGAAGCUUCUGGAGCAGGAGUUUUAACCUUUUCAGACGCAAUUUGCUCUGUCGCCUUUUCUUCAACUACGACAGGCUCUGUCUCAGUGGGCACUGAAGGCCCAACUUCGGUUUCAGCCUAAAUUGUUGCAGCUUCGACUUCUGCCUGCUUCGUUUCAACUUUGGGUUGUGCCUUGGAAGCUUCGGCAAUUUUUCUUGUAGGAGCAGGACUCAAGGUUUUUGCUGUUUCUAACACAACAUCUAGCACAUUCGCCAUCCUUCUCCUCUUAGGAGUUGCGGCAAAACUCUUUUGUGCCUUCGGCACUGUUGCCUCUGUCGAAGGGCUCAAAAUCUCUGGCAUUUUUGUUAUUUCAUCAAUUUUUGACACUUUAGCCAAUCAUCAUUUGGUUCAUCAAACUUAUCCCCAAACCUGAAUGUAUACUUCAGCCGGACCAAACCAUCUUCGCUAGAGUUAGUGAUGGUCUCCUUCGGCAUCUCCCAGUUUUCCACAAGCGGCCAUACUCUGAAUGCUAUAUGUUCUUGAAUUAGAUCUCUUGUGCCAAUCAAGGAGCAAACAGUACUAAAGGCCUUCUGACACGCUUCGACGACGUCAUCAAUUUUGUCCUUCGACCUUCGCAGGCUGAAGCGGGACCAGAUGGGACGCAUAAUGAUUUCUUUUAUGUCUUCCCUCAUCUUUAGAUCAUUCUUCACAUUAAACCACUCUUCCAUCUAGGCCUCAGGCCAUCUUUUCCGAAAUGUGGGCAAUGGGUGGCUUGCGUUAGGGCGAGCGAUAAAUCCAUAACAACCGAAGUUGUUGUGGUACUGUUCUUUACCCAUGGCCUUCGUCUCAUAUAGAAGUUCAUGCAUACAGUAGAAGCACUUCGCGCUUGGCUCUAGCCCUUGACUCCUUACUGCCCAGACAAAAAUCCCCAUUCUUAUCAUGGCUUCGGGGGUGAUCUGAUGAAGGAAGAUUUGGUAGGUCUUCAGCACUUCAACUACAAACUUGCUCAAAGGGAACCGAAGUCCAGCUUUGAAGAAGCUUCGGUAAAUCACAACUUCAUUCUCCUCAGGGGCAGGGACGUUGUUGUCUCCGCCAACCCUCACAAUAGACAUAUCCCGAAAGUACCUUCCUCUCAUGUUCUCAAGAUGACUCUGCUUGAUGGUCGAUUUUCGAAGAUUGAAUGACUUGGCCGCUAGGGCCGAUCCUUAGAAUCUUCAUCCCCACUUUCCGCAUCAUAGCUAUCGAUGUCACCAGUAUCUUCAGACAAACCUUCCAGUAUCUCUUUAGUAAUUUUCUCUGUGUUUGUUUUUGCCAUUGAUUCAAUAAAUCCAGCAACAUAAGGAUCCACAGACUUCUUCUCCUCAAACAGCUUCGCUUCUUCGGUCAACUUCGUUUCCGCAACAAUCUUCUUUUCCUGAGACAUCUUUUCUCCAGACAUGGUGAAAACAUGUUUUUUAAACCGAAGUUCAGAGAGCUUGAAAAUCUAACAAGCGCUAGUGAGCAAGAGCUAAAAGAUUGAGAAAAUAAUGCAAAUGGCACAAGCAGCGUAUCAAAUGCAGUUGGUGUGAGUUCCUAUUUAUACGCCCAGUACGCUGCAAGUUGGAGGGCCCCGUCUGUCAUUGACUGUUGCUAUUCUAGCAAAGGGAAGGUGUUUUUUCGGACCUUCGGCUUAAGGCCUUCGUCCAUGUCACAAUCUGAAUUCGUUAUCUUAACAAAUUAAUACUGCGAGGGGCUACUGUUGGGGGCCUUCGUCUUCCGAAGGUCCUCAAAAACAUGAUUUAACAAUGUUUUUCAAGUGUAACAUAUGAGCAGGUACCUUCGGACUCGGGUUAAAAGCAUAUACGAUGUGAAAAGCAUGGUCGUGACGAAGGCUGAUGUUGCUCUGAAGCUACGCGCAAGGGAGCUUCGGCUUAAUGGCGGAAAAAGGAACCGACUUAAAGGGGAAAAGGCUAUCUAGCUCCCGUUGGGUUGUCCAUAAGUCAAUAGUAAAUGUGAAGGGCAUGAAUGUAAAUUUACACAGGCUGCGCCCUGUGCCUAUAAAUAGAUGAACAGUACCCCCGUACUGUUCACGCUGACUUGUACUCGCUUGUGCGUCAUGCUUGUACUUUCAUCUUCUGUCAAGCCGAAGGUACAAAUGUAAUUCAAUAUUGUUUCUAUUCUUCCAUGAUAAUAUAAUAAAGAUGAAUUAAUAAUGUUAUAUGAUUGUUCAUGUUGUCUCUUAUAUUUCAUAUGCUUCUUCUUUUAUUAACAUAUACCGCGAUGAUGAAGGUAUGUCCUUCACAACCUUCGUCUGAAGAUCAUUAUAUCCUAAGGGAAAUAAUGCUUCGAAGGACGAAGGGUAUUAACCUUUAACAUUUGUGUUGCCUUGUUCUUAACUCAUAGCAUUUGAUAACAAGUGACCAACAAUAAGAAUGUUAGAUUAAAUGCUAACAUAGAAGAAUUAAAUGCUUGCAAACCCUCUACAUCUACUGUUGAGCAUGUUCCCAUUUGCACUAGAUGUAGAGAUAUUAAUGUUGAUGCUAUAGAUGAUCACCUUGCCAUGAUUAAGAAACAAAAUGAUCACAUAGGUCAAUUAAAUGCUAAAAUUGCCGAGCAUGAGCUCGAAAAUGAAAAAUUUAAAUUUGCUCGUAGCAUGCUUUAUAAUGGGAGAUGCCCCGACAUUAAGGAUGGCAUUGGUUUCCAAUAGGGGAGAAAUGUCAAGCUUAAUGCCCCUAAGAAACUAUCUAACUUUGUAAAGGGCAAGGCUCCCAUGGUUCAGGAUAGUAAGGGUUACAUUUUAUAUCCUGCAAACUAUCCCGAACAUAAGAUUAGGAAGAUUCAUGCUAGGAAACCUCAUAAUGUUUCUCACCAUGCAUUUAUGUACAAAAAUGAGGCUUCUAGCUCUAGGCAUACCACACAUGUUAAAAUGCCUAGAAAGAAAAUUCAUGCUGCAUCAAAUGAGCAUAAUGUUUCUUUUAAAACUCUUGAUGCAUCAUAUGUGCUUACUAACAAAUCAGGCAAAAUAGUUGCCAAAUAUGUUGGGGGCAAACACAAGAGUCCAAAGACUUGUGUUUGGGUACCCAAGAUGCUUGUUUCUAACGUCAAAGGACCCAAGACUGUUUGGGUACCUAAGAACAAGGCCUAAAAUUGUUUUGUAGGUUUAUGCAUCCGGUGGUUCAAGUUGGAUAAUCGAUAGUGGGUGCACAAACCACAUGACAGGGGAGAAAAGAAUGUUCUCCUCCUAUGAGAAAAACGAAGAUCCCCAACGAGCUAUCACAUUCGGGGAUGGAAAUCAAGGAUUGGUCAAAGGAUUGGGUAAAAUUGCUUUAUCACCUGACCAUUCUAUUUCCAAUGUUUUUCUUGUAGAUUCUUUAGAUUACAAUUUGCUUUCAGUUUCUUAAUUGUGUAAAAUGGGCUACAACUGUCUAUUUACAGAUGUAGGUGUUACUGUCUUUAAAAGAAGUGAUGAUUCAAUAGCAUUUAAGGGAGUGUUAGAGGGUCAGCUAUAUUUAGUUGAUUUUAAUGAUAACAAAGCUGAACUCGACACUUACUUAAUUGCUAAGACUAAUAUGGGUUGGCUCUGGCAUCACCGACUUGUCCAUGUUGGGAUGAAGAAUCUUCACAAGCUUCUAAAGGGAGAGCACAUUUUAGGACUAACCAAUGUUCAUUUUGAGAACGACAGAAUUUGUAGCGCAUGCCAAGCAGGAAAGCAAGUUGGCACUCAUCAUCCACACAAGAACAUCAUGACAACGGACAGGCCGCUCGAGCUACUCCACAUGGAUCUAUUCGGCCCGAUCUCUUACAUAAGCAUCGGCGGAAGUAAGUACUGUCUAGUUAUCGUGGAUGAUUAUUCUCGCUUCACUUGGGUGUUCAUUUUGCAGGAAAAAUCACAAACCCAAGAGACCUUAAAAGGAUUCUUAAGAUGGGCUCAAAACGAGUUUGGUUUAAGGACAAAAAAGAUAAGAAGCGACAAUGGGACGGAGUUCAAGAAUUCACAAAUUGAAGGUUUUCUUGAGGAAGAGAGCAUCAAGCAUGAGUUCUCUUCUCCCUACACACCUCAACAAAAUGGUGUAGUGGAGAGGAAGAAUAGACCUCUACUGGACAUGGCAAGAACCAUGCUUGAUGAGUACAAGACACCGGACAGGUUUUGGGCCGAGGCGAUUAACACCGCCUGCUACUCCAUCAAUUGGCUCUACCUUCACCGAAUCCUCAAGAAGACAUCAUAUGAACUCCUCACUGGUAAAAAGCCCAAUAUUUCAUAUUUAAGAGUUUUUGGGAGUAAAUGCUUUAUUCUUGUUAAAAGAGGUAGAAAAUCUAAAUUUGCUCCUAAGGCUGUAGAAGGCUUUUUACUAGGAUAUGACUCAAACACAAGGGCAUAUAGAGUCUUCAACAAAUCCGCUGGAUAAAUUGAGGUUUCUUGUGACAUUGUGUUUGAUGAGACUAAUGGCUCCCAAGUGGAGCAAGUUGAUCUUGAUGAAUUAGAUGAUGAAGAGGCUCCAUGCGUCGCACUUAGGAACAUGUCCAUUGGGGAUGUGUGUCCUAAAGAAUCCGAAGAGCCCACACAAGCACGAGAUGAACCGUCAUCUUCCAAUCAAGCUUCUCAACCCACCCAAGAUGAGGAACAGGCUCAAGAUGAUGAAAAUGAAGAUCAGGAGGAUGAGCCACCUCAAGAGGAGGACAAUGAUCAAGGGGGACAUGAAGAUAAUGUAACCAAGGAAGAUGGUCAAGAAAUACAGGGUCAAAGACCGCCACACCUAAGAGCCCACCAAGCAAUUCAACGAGAUCACCCCGUCUACUCCAUCCUUGGUGACUUUCAUAAGGGGGUAACCACUAGAUCUCGAGUUGCACAUUUUUGUGAGCAUUACUCUUUUGUGUUCUCUAUUGAGUCUUACAGGGUGGAGGAUGCACUAAGAGAUUCAGAUUGGGUGCUGGCUAUGCAAGAGGAGCUCAACAACUUCACGAGGAAUGAGGUAUGGCAUUUAGUUCCACGUCCUAAUCAAAAUGUUGUAGGUACCAAAUGGGUAUUCCGCAACAAGCAAGACGAGCAUGGUGUGGUGAGAAGGAACAAAGCCCGACUUGUGGCCAAAGGUUACCCACAAGUCGAAGGUUUGGACUUUGAUGAAACUUAUGCACCCGUGGCUAGGCUUGAGUCAAUUCGUAUAUUACUUGCCUAUUGUGGCGGAACCGCCCGAAUUAUUCCAGCUUAAGUGCCCAAGUCGCACCCUUAAGGGCAGCAACGCACUUAAACAGGAAUAACCCGUCAGUCCCUCGGAUCUAGUCCGAUAAAGCCACUUACCAGGAUCGAAUACCACUAGCUCACACGAAGGUGAGGCACAGAGAAAUACAAUAAAACAUAAUACCACAAAUUUAAUAAGUAUCAUUAGUGAUUACAUUAUCGGAGUUUCAGAAAUAAUAACCAUAAAUUUUAAUGCAGCGGAAAUAACUAACGGAGAAGAACCGAGUAACAUGGCGAAGCCUGGCCACGCUACUCCUCCUGGUCCUCUCCUGCGGAAGCAGUAACCCACUCGACCGUCUAUCCCGGUGGCAAGGAUGGAGGCCAAGUCACACCAAUAACCAAUCAACCUAAUGAGUACCUGCAAAAAUUAUGCCACAAGCAAGGCUGAGUAUACUAAUACUCAGCUAGACUUACCCGGUGUGAGGAGUCUACUCCUCUACCUCUAGACAUGCAGCUGUUUGGCUGUGGGGUUUGGUUGCCAAAAGCACUAGCUGAGUUUCUAAGUCAAGUUUUAACUUUGUCAAUUUAAGUGUGACUCUCUUAAGGCUAAAAGUGUACUAUCUACUCAUACAUAGUAGCAAGCAUUAUUAGCAAUCAACAGCUUAUAUCAACUCAUCAUAUUUCCACUUGUUACUCAAUGCAGUACAAUGGAUCAAGCAGUCUCAUUAGCUGCGAGAAGCAGACGAUUCGAAUCGAGUUUUUAUCCUUGCAAGGUAAACCUAAACACACGACAUGUAGGGGCACUCUGUCCCCACACACAUCAACCGUCCCCAUCGAUUCCCUGGCAACAGAAAGGGGCUCACCGCCUUGGCGUACAAUGCCUCACUGACCCCGACUGGCCGUCGUGCAGUGACCGCACUUGUACCCACCAUAACCGGAAUGGGAGACCUCGUCUCAGGUCGCGUGAGGAGGGCAAUCUGCGGGCAGGUUCACUCAGGUACUAGGCUUACCGAUUUACCAUAUUUCUCAGUAUGUGUUUAGUACGUUCAAACGCUUGAUACAGGUAUCCGCACGUUAAUCCUUAUUCCAUUUUCCAUCUCGUAGACCACGCGUCCCCAUGGACCCGUGUCCACAGACCAUCAUCAUUCUGUUAUCAAAGUGAAUACAACCAAUUCCUGACCUCGCGCGAGUGCUAGAAAAAUCACUCGACUUCUACCGAGAUCCCUAAUUAGCAAGGCAGCUACUCGACCUAGCAUACUAGUAUCCAUCUCAAAGGUAUCCUGAGUUCAUGCAACUAGGGUUUCAGACAACUCCUACACUUAAGUGCAUAGUACAAGCCUACAAACAUUAAGUGCAGUAAAAUAGCAUAUAUAACGGUUAUGCAUAAAACCGGGGCUUGCCUUUAAUUUGACACUUAGAUAGUGUUUGCUGGGGAGAUACUCGCUCGGCGAGCAUCCACUAGUUAAGUUCAUCCUUCCUUGGUUCCACCAUCUGCAUCUUGUGGUUGGCACCACAUCACUGGCUCAAUCAUCAUCUCUCGGUCCUAUAUGAGGUGCAAGAUGCAUAUGUAUGAAUAUAAUGAAAGUAGCACAAAAUAUUUCAAUAUAUGAUUGCGAACUAACACUAAUUAGUAAGACACUGCAACGACUAUACGCAAGCGCUAGCUAGUCGCACGUUAUCGGCGUUCAUCAUUAAAACCAUUAAAAGAUGACAACAUGUUAUUUAUUUACGCAACACAACUAUGACAUUACAGGUACGCGCAUUUUAUUUGUUUGGAUACGACUUUUCAUUAGUUCUCCUAUUGAUCGCGCACAAGCCUCAUCGACAACACAAAUCCAAUAGAGGACAUAAGCGUCAAUGUCUAAGGAACUCCUAUAUCGCGUCACUAGAUAAAGAAACAUAUAAAACAAGACACACAUGUCAUCUCUAGCUUAGCCAUGGCAAGUCUACAUUACUUAAGAGCAAACCAAACAUUUUUAGCGAGAAGGGUGAACUAAACAAUCAAAAGCGCAUAUGCAGAUUUUCGGGACAGCAACACAGCAGCUACUUGUUUUAAUCAUAAAUUUUCAAAUAUUAACCCAAAAAUAACAAACUAGGACUUUCUGGAAAGCUUAAAACGUGCUCUACAACUUUGGUAUUUUUACCUCCACAGGAUUCAGCACUUAGCAAGGUUAAAAAGUGCUAACACAACAGCGCUGUCCAGAUUUGGACAGAUUCAGACUUAUGACUUUAAAAAUUCAUAACUGAAGAUUCAGGCAUCCAAACAAGGUGAUCCUAGACUUUCUGGAAAUGUAAUAAAAUUUUCUACAUAUCAUUUAUAAACAUCUUAAGGUGAUUCCAUAUUUAACUAAGGAUAAAAUACACUAGAAGGCUUUGCUGUCCAGAAUCGGACAGAUUCAGUCUUUAGACUUUAAACAUCCACAACUUAAUCUUCAGACCACCAAAAAGAGUGAUCCAAGACUUUUUGGAAAGCUCAGAAAAAGAACUACAUAACUUUUAUAAUCACCAAGAAUUGAUUCUAUGUUGAACUGAAUCAAACAAUUCAGUUUCCGAAAUCUGUUCUGUCAGUGGACAGAACACAGCAACCAAGUUGUAAAAUUCAUAACUCUUAAACCGUCAGGCCUUUAGUUAUGAAAUUUUAACACAAGCAAGAUCAGAAAAGCAUCUACAGCUUUCUUAUAAUGACCAUGAACAGAUUGCAACAUUAAAUUGAACAAACAAUACAGUUUCUGAAAUCUGUACAGAAUUUGGACAGAUUCAGUUACUAAAUUUGUAAAAAGCAUAACUCCUAAACUGUCAGACCUAUGGCUGUCAAAUUUUAACACCAGCAAGGUAAUAAAGUUAUCUACCACUUUUCUAUAGCACAUAUCUACAGAAAACACAAUUUAGUUCAUCAAACAGACAACACAACUAAAACAGCGCGUGCAGUCCAAAACAGCAAUCAACGAAUUUCAGUUUCUAUAUAAUUCAAGAAUUGCCAUGAUCUAGAGAUUUGAAUUAUUCUAACACUUUACCAUUUGUUAGAGUUAAAACAAUCAAUUGAGCACUAACAAGUAGACUUACAAAUUUUAUCCAAAUCAUUUAGUGCACUAAAAUUACCACAUUCAUUUAACAAACGCAUUCACCACAAUCAUCAAAUCCGGCACAUAUUUAUAUCGAAGCGCCUUUCACCCAUUAGUCCGCAUUUUAACUUAGACACCACAUGAGCACUACUAAUUUUUACUUGCGACCAUAACCAUACGCAUUUAGACCACAACAAGUAAUUCAUCGUAACUACGAGCUUAACCAACGCCAUCUAACUAGUCCAUUAACCAAAGGGAUGGCAUAGCCCGCCAUACGACAUACACAUCAGCUUGCCUAUUAUUAACGCAGUCCGAGACACCACACCUAUUUAUAUCACAAUCACUUACGCCAUCGACUCCUACUUGACAUGAGUUGGCUAAUGACGUGACCAUUUCCCAAUUACCAUCACACACCACCCUUCGCCAUUUUUGGAUGACCGGCACGACACACAGCUAUUGUAAUACAUCUUCAAGUUCAUUCAACCCAUCAGUAGAGCACUAGCGCAUUCCAGAAAAUUUCCUAAGGCUACGACGACAAGGCAUCGACCUUAUCAUGCACAUAAAAGAAUCACAAGCGUGUUUACGGAACCUAUCGGUUAACUGGAUCGUCACACUACCCAUGUUCUUUGCCUUUCCAAUUUUUAUCGCACCACAAGAAUCAUCCCCAUUUGCCAAUGACACUAAUAAUACCUAUUGACCUAUGGUUUACCACCCGAGCACCGUUACACGCCGCACAUUAGUUUCUAACAUGAUUCUCGCAUAACUCGUAAUUCAACUACUCACUAGCCAUAAAUCACGCACGACCACUACCACAUCGACCGGUUAAUUUAUUUGGACACCGCCUAGCGUACCACGAGUACCCCGCAUUUUGACUCGACAUAUAAACAUAGAGGAGGCGAUGACUACUUCGUCAUGUCACCACCUCUCUAUUUAAGCAAAGACCAUUUCCACCUACAACGACCGAACAUUCCUAUCGAGCACACCUUAUAUUUUCCUGUCUCGCAUACGACCAUGUCAUGGCGUGCACUCGAGACACUUCACUCAAUGUGGCGCGACCACUAAUAUAAAUGAACUCCGACACUCAUGACUUAACGAUACAUCCCCCAUGCAAACUAGCAUUCUCUACACUACCCGCCACGUCAAUAAAUAUAUCUCCUCUAAAAUUACGAAUCCCAUCACAUUGCUUAAAACAAAUACACUUUUCACAUAAACACAUAUCGAUGCAUUUCCCAAAACAAAAUCCACAUUUUGUAACUUAGUUUCGCAUGAAACAACGCAUCGCAUAUUUUCCGAUCAAAAUAAAAAUAUCCGAGUUCUUCUCUACUUCAUUUUCUUCUCUACACGCGUCCAUUCAUACAAACAUAUUUUCACACGCAUAUAAACACGCAGGCACAUCAUCGACCGAAUACGUAAAUAAAACAAAUCGCAAUCAUUCAAGGCGAACAACCUGGCCGAAAUCCGAUUGGAGUUGCGCAUGCAUGUCAUCAGUUUGGGCUCUUUGCCGACGAGCGAUGCGUGUGGCGUGACGUCGACAAGGGGAUGCGAGCAUGGCACAAUUUAUUACACGAUUUAUUGGUGCGGUCAUUUAAUCGAACACGAAAAGCGCAGGACAGCUAGUAGCUCACCAAGGUUGUUGUUCACUGCACAGAUUGACGACUAGCGGAGCUCGAUGCCGACGUGCUGGGAAACGAUGGCAGCCAGGGCCGUGUAGAUCGACGGGGCUCGCUGCUGCGGACCGGCAUUGCUGCGCAGAUCGGCUGACGCCGCACGGAGAGGGCCGAGCACAGGGGUGGAUGGCGGCCAGAUGGGGAGCUCACGGCUAUGGGGGAAAUGGAGCUGCGCAGGGAGAAAACAGGGGGCGUCCAUUACAGGGGGAUCCGGCCAUGGCGAGAGCAGUUUGGGGGGAGGGAGAUGUUGCUGCUGGGCGCCGGCAAGGGGUAGAAGAAAGGGAGCGCUGGUCUGCAAUAGAGAGGCGAUGAGCUAGAGGUAGAAGGCAGAGGUCCGGCCAUGGUGAAGAAGCUCUCUGCUGGAAAAAUCUGGGCGUCACGGAGGAAAGCAGAGGCGUCGCGCCAUGGCUGGGAGGUGCCUGAGCGCCGAGUUUUUGAGGAGGGAGAGGGAUGGCGUGGGAGAGGGAAUGGGUGGAGAUGCAGUGGAUCUCGGGUGCCUAGAGGCUGACAGCGAUGGAGGCUUGGGCGAGCUCGGCCAUGGAGCUCCCGCGCGCAGGGAAGAAAAAGCUCCCUGCUGCCGACGCUGUGGAUAAGGGGGCGCUCCCAUGGGGGCCCUGCUCCUGCGAUGGCGUGCUGCUGCAUCCCAGGGAGCCGAGGGGGAAGAAUGGCGCUGUUGCUGGGUGGCCAUGGUUGGAGCAGAGAGACCCGCGCCCAUGGAGCAGGGAGGGCGUCGCUGGUGGCUGUUGCUGCCGUGAAGAAGAAGAGGCAGGGAAGAAAGAAGGUGGCGGCUGGGAAAAAUGGAGGGGUGGGAGUGCAAAAUUGCCUCCACUUGCAAGGAGAUGGCUCCUAUUUAUAGAGAGGCACUAGGGCUAGGGUUUUCUUAGUGGGCUGGGCCGGAUUUGGCCCAAAUACGUACUCGGGCCGCGCUAAUUUAUUUUUCGGAAUAAAAAUGCUCGUGCGGAAUUCGUCUGUACGCGGAACAGAGUGAAACAGAGUUCGGACGAACAGACAAUUGAACGAUUAAUUCGGCCGAGAGUUUGAUUUGAAUUCGCUCGGAAAUAAUUUCUCGCGCACUAUUUUAGAAAUAAAUGUUUCUCUCAGACUUCCGAUCGGCUUCGGAUUUUUAGUCGGAGAAACCGAAUCGUGACAAUUUAAAAUUGCUGUCGAUACGGGGUUUUGAAUUCGGUUCGGACAUGAGAUAUUUAGCUGAGUCGAGUAAGAAUUAAUUAGAGGACGACAUAUCGAGUAUUCCGUCUGAGAGUACGGAUCCAAAUAAAAUAGUCGGGCAUCAGUCGAAGGCCGAGGAAUUGGAUUUGGGCACAGCUCGACUAGCAACUGUCGAGCGUUUGAUUACAUGAGCUUUAGACGAGAUUUAUAAUUCGAGAAUGAUCUUCGAAUCUGCAUGAGUUCCGAGAAUUAAAAGUUUUAACAUGCUCCAAAAUUGGUUGUUUCUCGCGAUCGAUUAACUCCGAAUUCGGUGAACUUCCAUGAGAAGCCUGAUAGACAGAGAUAGACACGAUCGAGAAAUAGAAAUUUUCACUGAGCAUCCGAGAUCAGGAUAACUCCCCUGACAUAACGCGAAAUAGACACCUGGGAUGUCACAGCCUUCCCCCCUUAAAAGGAAUCUCGUCCCGAGAUUCGAAUGAGGAUCUUCAAGGGUGGAGAAGCAUGUAACUCCCAGACUGAAGAUAGAUGCAAAUUCAUGAGAGGGUAUCUGAUAAGAUAUUGGAGACAGAUUUGGAUAGAAUAUCGCGGCAUGCUGAGACAAAAUGCAGCGAUCACUCUGAGAGAAUGUUCACAAAAGAUAGCACAUCAGUAUAGUCUCGUAAUGGAUCACGACUAUUAACCAUGAUACCGGCGCGUGCCGAGCAGCUCAACCAUGUGUGCGCGCCCACAGGAGGCUCUCGGUUUCGUCGCGGCACCAUCAGUCAUUAGUCAUGACACCAUUACCAAACACAACCAAUACGGAAUUCACAUAGCACAAAUAGAGGGAGCCCAUGAGAGUAUGGCUCAGAAAAUAAGAAUGUGACCGGAGCAGAAGUAGAGAUUGCUGGCAAAAAGAGCAUCACGUGAGAAUUUAUUUAACUCAGAGAACUAUUUUAUGAUCAUCACGGGGAUUAUCAACCAAAGAUUGAUAUGAUACUUAAUAAGAGGAUGAACCAACCAUGAGAUCGAGAUUGAUAAGCUUUUAGAGACAUGAGAGAUCCAAAGAUAACAGCAACAUCCAUUGAACUAAAUGGAUACGCCGUUUAAAGAUAAAAUUGAUAAAACAACUUCAUGAUCCUCGAAGAACGAGUAUAAGAAUUAUCAGAAUUGAAAGAUUUAGGCAGAUCAACAUCCGAUACUUGAGAACGGGUUAGAGUAGAUAACCAGAUAACGGGGCAGAAUCAAUAGGGGAUCCCGAGAUUCGGAUGAUAAAGCAAACAUGAUUCAUAAGAAAAAGGAUUACCAGAUCCAGGUGAAAGGAGAGGUAGGCAACAAGAUCAGCUGGAUGAUCAAUAAAAAUGCUAUGAAGUUUUAGGAGCAAGAAUUUUAUGGAAAGAAACAUGGUCUUGAUAGGGUUUGGGCAACUAGACACCAAACAACAAUUUUUUUUCGACAAAACCACGUGCACAAGGAAGUUUUAGCCAAUUUAGGGGUCAAGCUAUGGGUGUCUACAAGUCGUGCAGGUGCAACUUCAAGGGGGAAACACACAAGGGUUAGAAAACACCAACACAAGCAUGUUUUUUUUUGCAAGGGUUUCACUUGCUAAACUCAAGGUUGUUUGGAGGGGGAAAAAUCUUUUCAUGAGCAGAACAGACAACAAAAUUAUUUUUUUUGGAAGAAGGGUUGAAUAAUCACAAUACCACCUAGAUAGCAAGACAAGAGAAACACAUAGCACGACCUAACAAGACUUACCAAUCUAACACAAGGUAAGGCGUUUCUUUGCAGUUCAUAGCAAUACAAUACAUUAUUCACAAUUUCUUAUUAUUGGAAUAAAGGUGAGAGAAGCAUGUUGAUGCACAAGAGACAAUGAUGCGAUAAUCAUGAUGCAUGCUCAUUCUAGUCGUCUUCUCAGACCUAACUAAUUUUUCGGAUGCUUCUACAGCAUCCUUCCUAAUAGUAGUAGUAGCCUUUAUGGCCUAUAUAAAUAGCCACCUAGCUACCCAUCUAUUUCCUAAGGCUUCACGUCCUAGGUCUAACUUAUCGUCCUGAUAUCUAUCCAACUUUGGUUUUUAAGCAAGUUUUACUUUAGAAAAGGUUGGUAUUUAUGACUUAUUGACUUCUCUGUGAUGGUAUUCGCUCCGAUACCAGCUGUGGCGGAACCGCCCGAAUUAUUCCAGCUUAAGUGCCCAAGUCGCACCCUUAAGGGCAGCAACGCACUUAAACAGGAAUAACCCGUCAGUCCCUCGGAUCUAGUCCGAUAAAGCCACUUACCAGGAUCGAAUACCACUAGCUCACACGAAGGUGAGGCACAGAGAAAUACAAUAAAACAUAAUACCACAAAUUUAAUAAGUAUCAUUAGUGAUUACAUUAUCGGAGUUUCAGAAAUAAUAACCAUAAAUUUUAAUGCAGCGGAAAUAACUAACGGAGAAGAACCGAGUAACAUGGCGAAGCCUGGCCACGCUACUCCUCCUGGUCCUCUCCUGCGGAAGCAGUAACCCACUCGAUCGUCUAUCCCGGUGGCAAGGAUGGAGGCCAAGUCACACCAGCAACCAAUCAACCUAAUGAGUACCUGCAAAAAUUAUGCCACAAGCAAGGCUGAGUAUACUAAUACUCAGCUAGACUUACCCGGUGUGAGGAGUCUACUCCUCUACCUCUAGACAUGCAGCUGUUUGGCUGUGGGGUUUGGUUGCCAAAAGCACUAGCUGAGUUUCUAAGUCAAGUUUUAACUUUGUCAAUUUAAGUGUGACUCUCUUAAGGCUAAAAGUGUACUAUCUACUCAUACAUAGUAGCAAGCAUUAUUAGCAAUCAACAGCUUAUAUCAACUCAUCAUAUUUCCACUUGUUACUCAAUGCAGUACAAUGGAUCAAGCAGUCUCAUUAGCUGCGAGAAGCAGACGAUUCGAAUCGAGUUUUUAUCCUUGCAAGGUAAACCUAAACACACGACAUGUAGGGGCACUCUGUCCCCACACACAUCAACCGUCCCCAUCGAUUCCCUGGCAACAGAAAGGGGCUCACCGCCUUGGCGUACAAUGCCUCACUGACCCCGACUGGCCGUCGUGCAGUGACCACACUUGUACCCACCAUAACCGGAAUGGGAGACCUCGUCUCAGGUCGCGUGAGGAGGGCAAUCUGCGGGCAGGUUCACUCAGGUACUAGGCUUACCGAUUUACCAUAUUUCUCAGUAUGUGUUUAGUACGUUCAAACGCUUGACACAGGUAUCCGCACGUUAAUCCUUAUUCCAUUUUCCAUCUCGUAGACCACGCGUCCCCAUGGACCCGUGUCCACAGACCAUCAUCAUUCUGUUAUCAAAGUGAAUACAACCAAUUCCUGACCUCGCGCGAGUGCUAGAAAAAUCACUCGACUUCUACCGAGAUCCCUAAUUAGCAAGGCAGCUACUCGACCUAGCAUACUAGUAUCCAUCUCAAAGGUAUCCUGAGUUCAUGCAACUAGGGUUUCAGACAACUCCUACACUUAAGUGCAUAGUACAAGCCUACAAACAUUAAGUGCAGUAAAAUAGCAUAUAUAACGGUUAUGCAUAAAACCGGGGCUUGCCUUUAAUUUGACACUUAGAUAGUGUUUGCUGGGGGAGAUACUCGCUCGGCGAGCAUCCACUAGUUAAGUUCAUCCUUCCUUGGUUCCACCAUCUGCAUCUUGUGGUUGGCACCACAUCACUGGCUCAAUCAUCAUCUCUCGGUCCUAUAUGAGGUGCAAGAUGCAUAUGUAUGAAUAUAAUGAAAGUAGCACAAAAUAUUUCAAUAUAUGAUUGCGAACUAACACUAAUUAGUAAGACACUGCAACGACUAUACGCAAGCGCUAGCUAGUCGCACGUUAUCGGCGUUCAUCAUUAAAACCAUUAAAAGAUGACAACAUGUUAUUUAUUUACGCAACACAACUAUGACAUUACAGGUACGCGCAUUUUAUUUGUUUGGAUACGACUUUUCAUUAGUUCUCCUAUUGAUCGCACACAAGCCUCAUCGACAACACAAAUCCAAUAGAGGACAUAAGCGUCAAUGUCUAAGGAACUCCUAUAUCGCGUCACUAGAUAAAGGAACAUAUAAAACAAGACACACAUGUCAUCUCUAGCUUAGCCAUGGCAAGUCUACAUUACUUAAGAGCAAACCAAACAUUUUUAGCGAGAAGGGUGAACUAAACAAUCAAAAGCGCAUAUGCAGAUUUUCGGGACAGCAACACAGCAGCUACUUGUUUUAAUCAUAAAUUUUCAAAUAUUAACCCAAAAAUAACAAACUAGGACUUUCUGGAAAGCUUAAAACGUGCUCUACAACUUUGGUAUUUUUACCUCCACAGGAUUCAGCACUUAGCAAGGUUAAAAAGUGCUAACACAACAGCGCUGUCCAGAUUUGGACAGAUUCAGACUUAUGACUUUAAAAAUUCAUAACUGAAGAUUCAGGCAUCCAAACAAGGUGAUCCUAGACUUUCUGGAAAUGUAAUAAAAUUUUCUACAUAUCAUUUAUAAACAUCUUAAGGUGAUUCCAUAUUUAACUAAGGAUAAAAUACACUAGAAGGCUUUGCUGUCCAGAAUCGGACAGAUUCAGUCUUUAGACUUUAAACAUCCACAACUUAAUCUUCAGACCACCAAAAAGAGUGAUCCAAGACUUUUUGGAAAGCUCAGAAAAAGAACUACAUAACUUUUAUAAUCACCAAGAAUUGAUUCUAUGUUGAACUGAAUCAAACAAUUCAGUUUCCGAAAUCUGUUCUGUCAGUGGACAGAACACAGCAACCAAGUUGUAAAAUUCAUAACUCUUAAACCGUCAGGCCUUUAGUUAUGAAAUUUUAACACAAACAAGAUCAGAAAAGCAUCUACAGCUUUCUUAUAAUGACCAUGAACAGAUUGCAACAUUAAAUUGAACAAACAAUACAGUUUCUGAAAUCUGUACAGAAUUUGGACAGAUUCAGUUACUAAAUUUGUAAAAAGCAUAACUCCUAAACUGUCAGACCUAUGGCUGUCAAAUUUUAACACCAGCAAGAUAAUAAAGUUAUCUACCACUUUUCUAUAGCACAUAUCUACAGAAAAUACAAUUUAGUUCAUCAAACAGACAACACAACUAAAACAGCGCGUGCAGUCCAAAACAGCAAUCAACGAAUUUCAGUUUCUAUAUAAUUCAAGAAUUGCCAUGAUCUAGAGAUUUGAAUUAUUCUAACACUUUACCAUUUGUUAGAGUUAAAACAAUCAAUUGAGCACUAACAAGUAGACUUACAAAUUUUAUCCAAAUCAUUUAGUGCACUAAAAUUACCACAUUCAUUUAACAAACGCAUUCACCACAAUCAUCAAAUCCGGCACAUAUUUAUAUCGAAGCGCCUUUCACCCAUUAGUCCGCAUUUUAACUUAGACACCACAUGAGCACUACUAAUUUUUACUUGCGACCAUAACCAUACGCAUUUAGACCACAACAAGUAAUUCAUCGUAACUACGAGCUUAACCAACGCCAUCUAACUAGUCCAUUAACCAAAGGGAUGGCAUAGCCCGCCAUACGACAUACACAUCAGCUUGCCUAUUAUUAACGCAGUCCGAGACACCACACCUAUUUAUAUCACAAUCACUUACGCCAUCGACUCCUACUUGACAUGAGUUGGCUAAUGACGUGACCAUUUCCCAAUUACCAUCACACACCACCCUUCGCCAUUUUUGGAUGACCGGCACGACACACAGCUAUUGUAAUACAUCUUCAAGUUCAUUCAACCCAUCAGUAGAGCACUAGCGCAUUCCAGAAAAUUUCCUAAGGCUACGACGACAAGGCAUCGACCUUAUCAUGCACAUAAAAGAAUCACAAGCGUGUUUACGGAACCUAUCGGUUAACUGGAUCGUCACACUACCCAUGUUCUUUGCCUUUCCAAUUUUUAUCGCACCACAAGAAUCAUCCCCAUUUGCCAAUGACACUAAUAAUACCUAUUGACCUAUGGUUUACCACCCGAGCACCGUUACACGCCGCACAUUAGUUUCUAACAUGAUUCUCGCAUAACUCGUAAUUCAACUACUCACUAGCCAUAAAUCACGCACGACCACUACCACAUCGACCGGUUAAUUUAUUUGGACACCGCCUAGCGUACCACGAGUACCCCGCAUUUUGACUCGACAUAUAAACAUAGAGGAGGCGAUGACUACUUCGUCAUGUCACCACCUCUCUAUUUAAGCAAAGACCAUUUCCACCUACAACGACCGAACAUUCCUAUCGAGCACACCUUAUAUUUUCCUGUCUCGCAUACGACCAUGUCAUGGCGUGCACUCGAGACACUUCACUCAAUGUGGCGCGACCACUAAUAUAAAUGAACUCCGACACUCAUGACUUAACGAUACAUCCCCCAUGCAAACUAGCAUUCUCUACACUACCCGCCACGUCAAUAAAUAUAUCUCCUCUAAAAUUACGAAUCCCAUCACAUUGCUUAAAACAAAUACACUUUUCACAUAAACACAUAUCGAUGCAUUUCCCAAAACAAAAUCCACAUUUUGUAACUUAGUUUUCGCAUGAAACAACGCAUCGCAUAUUUUCCGAUCAAAAUAAAAAUAUCCGAGUUCUUCUCUACUUCAUUUUCUUCUCUACACGCGUCCAUUCAUACAAACAUAUUUUCACACGCAUAUAAACACGCAGGCACAUCAUCGACCGAAUACGUAAAUAAAACAAAUCACAAUCAUUCAAGGCGAACAACCUGGCCGAAAUCCGAUUGGAGUUGCGCAUGCAUGUCAUCAGUUUGGGCUCUUUGCCGACGAGCGAUGCGUGUGGCGUGACGUCGACAAGGGGCUGCGAGCAUGGCACAGUUUAUUACACGAUUUAUUGGUGCGGUCAUUUAAUCGAACACGAAAAGCGCAGGACAGCUAGUAGCUCACCAAGGUUGUUGUUCACUGCACAGAUUGACGACUAGCGGAGCUCGAUGCCGACGUGCUGGGAAACGAUGGCAGCCAGGGCCGUGUAGAUCGACGGGGCUCGCUGCUGCGGACCGGCAUUGCUGCGCAGAUCGGCUGACGCCGCACGGAGAGGGCCGAGCACAGGGGUGGAUGGCGGCCAGAUGGGGAGCUCACGGCUAUGGGGGAAAUGGAGCUGCGCAGGGAGAAAACAGGGGGCGUCCAUUACAGGGGGAUCCGGCCAUGGCGAGAGCAGUUUGGGGGAGGGAGAUGUUGCUGCUGGGCGCCGGCAAGGGGUAGAAGAAAGGGAGCGCUGGUCUGCAAUAGAGAGGCGAUGAGCUAGAGGUAGAAGGCAGAGGUCCGGCCAUGGUGAAGAAGCUCUCUGCUGGAAAAAUCUGGGCGUCACGGAGGAAAGCAGAGGCGCCGCGCCAUGGCUGGGAGGUGCCUGAGCGCCGAGUUUUUGAGGAGGGAGAGGGAUGGCGUGGGAGAGGGAAUGGGUGGAGAUGCAGUGGAUCUCGGGUGCCUAGAGGCUGACAGCGAUGGAGGCUUGGGCGAGCUCGGCCAUGGAGCUCCCGCGCGCAGGGAAGAAAAAGCUCCCUGCUGCCGACGCUGUGGAUAAGGGGGCGCUCCCAUGGGGGCCCUGCUCCUGCGAUGGCGUGCUGCUGCAUCCCAGGGAGCCGAGGGGGAAGAAUGGCGUUGUUGCUGGGUGGCCAUGGUUGGAGCAGAGAGACCCGCGCCCAUGGAGCAGGGAGGGCGUCGCUGGUGGCUGUUGCUGCCGUGAAGAAGAAGAGGCAGGGAAGAAAGAAGGUGGCGGCUGGGAAAAAUGGAGGGGUGGGAGUGCAAAAUUGCCUCCACUUGCAAGGAGAUGGCUCCUAUUUAUAGAGAGGCACUAGGGCUAGGGUUUUCUUAGUGGGCUGGGCCGGAUUUGGCCCAAAUACGUACUCGGGCCGCGCUAAUUUAUUUUUCGGAAUAAAAAUGCUCGUGCGGAAUUCGUCUGUACGCGGAACAGAGUGAAACAGAGUUCGGACGAACAGACAAUUGAACGAUUAAUUCGGCCGAGAGUUUGAUUUGAAUUCGCUCAGAAAUAAUUUCUCGCGCACUAUUUUAGAAAUAAAUGUUUCUCUCAGACUUCCGAUCGGCUUCGGAUUUUUAGUCGGAGAAACCGAAUCGUGACAAUUUAAAAUUGCUGUCGAUACGGGGUUUUGAAUUCGGUUCGGACAUGAGAUAUUUAGCUGAGUCGAGUAAGAAUUAAUUAGAGGACGACAUAUCGAGUAUUCCGUCUGAGAGUACGGAUCCAAAUAAAAUAGUCGGGCAUCAGUCGAAGGCCGAGGAAUUGGAUUUGGGCACAGCUCGACUAGCAACUGUCGAGCGUUUGAUUACAUGAGCUUUAGACGAGAUUUAUAAUUCGAGAAUGAUCUUCGAAUCUGCAUGAGUUCCGAGAAUUAAAAGUUUUAACAUGCUCCAAAAUUGGUUGUUUCUCGCGAUCGAUUAACUCCGAAUUCGGUGAACUUCCAUGAGAAGCCUGAUAGACAGAGAUAGACACGAUCGAGAAAUAGAAAUUUUCACUGAGCAUCCGAGAUCAGGAUAACUCCCCUGACAUAACGCGAAAUAGACACCUGGGGUGUCACACCUAUGCUUCUUACCAUGGCUUUAAACUUUAUCAAAUGGACGUGAAAAGUGCCUUCCUCAAUGGACCCAUCAAGGAAGAGGUCUAUGUUGAGCAACCUACCGGCUUUGAAGAUAGUGAGUACCCUAACCAUGUGUAUAAACUCUCAAAGGCGCUUUAUGGGCUAAAGCAAGCGCCAAGAGCAUGGUAUGAAUGCCUAAGAGAUUUUAUUAUCACUAAUGGCUUCAAAGUCAGAAAAGCUGAUCCUACACUCUUUACUAAAACUGUUGCAAAAGAUUUGUUUGUAUGCCAAAUUUAUGUUGAUGACAUCAUAUUUGGGUCUACUAACAAAUCAACUUGUGAAGAGUUUAGUAGGAUCAUGAUUCAAAAAUUCGAGAUGUCUAUGAUGGGGGAGUUGAAGUAUUUCCUAGGAUUUCAAAUCAAGCGACUCCAAGAUGGCACCUUCAUCAGCCAAACAAAAUACAUUCAAGACAUACUUCAGAAGUUUGGAAUGAAGGAUGGCAACCCCAUCAAGACACCCAUGGGAACCGAUGGGCAUCUCAACCUUGGCACGGGAGGUAAAUCCGUAGAUCAAAAGGUAUACCGGUCGAUGAUAGGAUCUUUACUCUAUUUAUGUGCAUCUCGAUCGGACAUUAUGCUUUCUAUAUGCAUGUGUGCAAGGUUCCAGGGAAAUCCUAAGGAAGUUCACCUUAGGGCCGUGAAGAGAAUCAUGAGAUAUUUAGUUUACACUCCUAAGUUUGGACUUUGGUACCCUAAGGGAUCCACUUUUGAUUUAAUAGGAUAUUCCGAUGCCGAUUGGGCAGGGUGUAAAAUUAAUAGAAAGAGCACAUCAGGGACUUGUCAGUUUCUAGGAAGAUCCCUGGUGUCAUGGGCUUCAAAGAAACAAAACUUCGUAGCUCUUUCUACCGCCGAAGCCGAGUAUAUUGCCGCAGGCCAUUGUUGUGCGCAAUUACUUUGGACGAGGCAAACCCUUAGGUACUAUGGCUACAAAUUGAGCAAAGUCCUCUCCUAUGUGAUAAUGAGAGUGCUAUCCACAUGGCGGAUAAUCCCGUUGAACACAGCCGCACUAAGCACAUAGACAUUCGAUAUCACUUUCUAAGAGAUAACCAACAAAGGUGGGGGGAUAUCGAAAUAGCUUAUGUAAACACCAAGAAUCAAUUAGCUGAUAUCUUUACCAAGCCAUUAGAUGAGAAAACCUUUAGCAAACUUAGGAAUGAACUAAAUAUACUUGAUUCUCGGAAUUUUGAAUGACACAUUGCACACAUAGCUUAUUUCUAUACCUUUGAUCAUAUUACUUUCAUUUGGUACAAAUACAUAUUUCUUAUUCCUCUUGUGCCAAGACUAUGACUAAUGUGUUUCCAACUGUAUUUCUAUACUAAGUUGUAGAUUGAAAGGGAAAUGGAGUAUUCGGUAAAGACAAGGCUUCCACUCCAACUCUGACGGUAUCACUUACCCUUUGCCAUUACUCAUAUAUCUCUCAAUUGGUAUAACAUUUCACUCAUAUUUCUUUACCAAUGGGAGAGAAAGUACAUUAGGGCUCCAAAGUACUCCGUUUUUUGCGAUUAAUACCAAAGGGGGAGAAAAUAUUAAGCCUAAAGCAAAAGGACCGCACCACCACCGCACCACCAGCAUUUCAAAUUUUUCGAAAUGAAGUUUUUAAUUGAUAUUCUUCAACUCGUACUUGAUACAAAUUGGUAUCCCUUGAAUUUCAAAUUGAUAUCUAUCUUAAAACCCUCUUGAAAGCUAAGAGGAGAAUUUCAUUCAGGGGGAGUUUUAUUUAGUCAAAGGAAAAGCAUUUGAAACAGGGGGAGAAAUUUCUAAUCUUGAAAAUGCAUUCUUGUAAUCUUAUUCAUAUACCUUUGACUAUUUGCAAAAAGACAUUGAAAAGAUUUUCCAAAAGAAUUUGCAAAAACAAAACAAGUGGUGGAAAGGUGGUCAAAAAUGUUAAAUAAAAGAAAAGCAAUCCAUUCAUAUCUAGUGAGAUUAUCAAUUGGUUUAAUUCCAAGUAACCUAUGCACUCUCCAAAAUGCAAACUAGUUCAUUUCUGCACAUUAUAUAUUUGCUUUGGUUUGUGUUGGCAUCAAUCACCAAAAAGGGGGAGAUUGAAAGGGAAAUAGGGUUAACCUUUUCCUACGAUUAAUUUUGGUGGUUGAAUGUACAACACAAACAUAUGGACUAACUAGUUUGCUCUAGAAUUUAUGUAUUACAUGUGCAUAAGGUUCAACAUAAACCAAUAAAAAGAAUCAAGUUAGGGACACAAAUUCAGCGGAGCAAAAGGAAUUGAGUGCGCUGAAGAAUGGCGCACCGGACUGUCCGGUGUGCCACUGGACAUUGUCCGGUACACCAGGGUCGUACAAGUUCCAACCAGCCACUCUCGGGAAUUUAACGACGCCCUCCGCUAUAAUUCAUCGGACUAUCCGGUGUGCCACCAGACUGUCCGGUGUGCCAGCAGAGCAACGACUAACUCAUGCAACGGUCGACUCUGACAGAAGCUACAGUGAGCAACAGUGCCACGCAGAAGUCAGAGCAGCGAAGCUAGAGGGGCACCGGACUGUCCGGUGUGGCACCGGACUGUCCGGUGCCGCAAGAGGACAAAGCCCCAAUAGUCGACUCGGCUCCGAACCCUAACGGUUAGGUGACGUGGCGGCGCACCCGACAUUGAAUAGUGUCUGUCCAGUGGCGCACCGGACUGUCCGGUGCGCCCAUCGCCAGCAGUCUCCCCAACAGCUAUCUUGGUGGUUGGGGGCUAUAAAUACCCCCAACCACCAUAACCUCAAGCAUCCAAGAUUUCUGAAGAUCACAUUCAAUACAAGAGCUCUAUCAUUCAUUCCUAGUCACAAUUUAAAAGAUCAAAGCCUCUCCAAUCCCAACUUCAUCUCAAACACUUAGUGACUUGUGUGAGAGAGAUUUCUUGUUCUUUUGAGCUCUUGCUUCUUGGAUUGCCUUUCUUCUUUUCUCAUUCUUACUCUCAAGUGCUUUGUAAGCGAGGCAAGAGACACCAAGUGUGUGGUGGUCCUUGCGGGGUCUUUGUGACUCGUGAGAUUAAGGAAGAAGGCUCACUCGGUCUAAGUGACCGUUUGAGAGAGGGAAAGGGUUGAAAUAGACUCGGUCUUUGUGACCUCCUCAACGGGGACUAGAUUCUUUGGAACCAAACCUCGAUAAAACAAAUCAUAGUGUUCAUUCGCUUGAUUCUCAUUUGAUUUGUUUUCCUCUCUCUCCCGGACUUGAUUUUAGUUCUAACGCUAACCCUGGCUUAUAGUGUGUGUUUAAAGUUGUAAAUUUCAGAUUACGCCUAUUCACCCCCCUCUACGCGACUUUCAAGAAGAGACCGCAGCCGACAGGUGGGGUCGGCAACACGCGACAGACUCGUGUGGUCCCCUGGCAAGGCACGGAUGUGCGGCGACGAAGGACCUGUGACCGACGAGUGGACCCGGUCCACCAGUGCCCCCACCGGAUCUCACUGUUGGGCUGCGUGGAAGGAACGUGAAUUGGGCCGAGGGGGAGGUUUUGAGCCCAUCGAAGGUUUUCCAUUUUCUUUUUUUCUGGUUUCCUUUUCUCAAAUUUUAGAAUUCAAAUUUAAACUCAAAUUUGGUUGGGAAUUUUUUUAUUCCUAAAUUAAUGUACAAUUCCAAGACCUCAGUAUGGACAAAGCUACCUACAUAUAUAAUUUUCUUUAUCUUCAUCAGUCCAAUAGGAAUAUGAUAGUUUCUGAACUGUGUGGUGAAUUAUGCCCAGGUGAUAUUAUUGGCAGCAUCAUGAGCAGCAAUGUAAGAAUCCCACCAAUCAGCAUCAGGACCAUUAAGAUGACCAGAAGCAUAAAACACCUUCUCCCGGUCAGAGCAUUGGGUGAUAUUCAAUAUCUUCUCCACUGACUUCAGCCAAUCAUCAGCGCGCAGAGGAUCUGGAGAGCUGGCGAAUGUCGGUGGCUUGUGACUCAUGAACUCCCGGUGGUUGUCCCGGGGUGGAACUGGUGGUGGCGGUGGAGGCAUUGGUGCUUGUUGCUGUCGUACCAUCCUCUCUUGCCUUAUUUCCUCAUGCAUCUCUUGCCUUUCCUAGCGCAUCUCUUGACGUUCCUGCCGCAUCUGAGUUUGCAUAUCCGUUAAAGUAUUUGCCAUCUAUUCCAGCAUCUGCAUCUGAGCUGCAACCACUAGAUCUGUCCUAGCCGGUGGAGGAUUCGAAGGGUCUAUUUCUGCUUGCUGUUGUCUAAUAAUCCUCCCUUCCUGGUAUUGACCAUCUGGUUAGAAACACAUGGUAAGAAAGAAUUGUAGGCAAGAAGAGUAAUUACGAGGCAGAAUCGUUUGGAUGUUUUAUUAGCUAAGUAGAUUAGUGUGUCACUUACUAAGGCUAAUACAUUACCUUAUGGUGGUACAUGCUAGAAUGCCCUGCUAUACUAUUUCAAUCAAUCAAAGAAGCAAAUCAGGCAUCUAUCAUCAGAACAAUCAUCCAAACACUUUAGAUAGAGAAAAUAAUUUUAAUUUUUUGUCUUAGGUCUCCUAUCUUUUUAGAGGGUUAUAAAUGUAGGAUUCCAAAGUGUGAAAUCAUCCUUGUCUUAGAAUAGAAAAUGUAAGAAUAGUCAGAGUAGAACAACAAAAGGUGAGACAAGAUCAAGAUAAGUAUACACAGAAUCAGAGUAAGGUAAGUAUGUAAGGGUUUUGUCCAGUUCUAUCUAGGUUUCAUCCUACAGUCAACAUUUCCUCAUAUACCACUCUUGUCACACCUGGAUUUAAGGGAUAAAGUCGGGUGCGUCUCAUAUGUGCGCCAAAAAAAGAACAUCACAUAUAAUGACAAAGUGUAUAGAGAUGAUUGUCACAAUAUCAUAAAUGUCAUUAUUACAUAGCGGAAGUCUUAUAAAAAUAAAUGAUAAUAAUAAAGCGAACUAAGUAUUAUUCUUUAGCGCCACAAAGCUGACUAGGAGACGCCACCUAGAUCAACUCGUACUCCUUAUUGUAUGGCUCCUCCUGGACCACCUUUUCUUCUCCUGUGGGGGGGGGGGUUACAUAUCGCAAGGAUGAGCUCACAAAAGAUCAUAGCUCAACAAGUUGUGGGGAAUAAUGUGCAUGAACUUACCAAAGGUGGGAGUUCAUGUGAAGUGUAAGGCUAAUCAACAAGUAAGGGUUAAAGCUGAUAAUUGCUUUUAACAGGUUGGUCAAGUUUUAUUAGUAGUUACUAAAUGUAAGUAGAUUCUAAACCAGAGUAAUAGUAGAUCAAAAUUUAUAAUAAAUCCCAAUACGAUGGAAAUGACAAAUUGAAUUUAAUUUCAUAAAUUAAUCAUGCAAGAGUCUUGAGCUGCUCAUGACCGCGAGCAUGACUAGUAUACCACUUUUACACUCUACAGAGGUUGUACCCUGUACCCACAAGUCAUGUAUCCCGUCCAGCCAAGGUUAGCUAAACCCUUAGACACUGCCGAGGUGAAUGACUAGGGAUCCACUACGAGGCAUUUACAAAGUUCCACUAGCUUAAGAAAACCCGCUACAGUUUCUAGAAAAACAAUGCAGGAAUCCCCCGUCUGACUGCCAUCGCAGCAAAAUCAACCCGAGAACCUCCCUAUACGCCUACUCCCCUACUGCCCUUUCCCCUUUCGCGUAAGGUAGUCCUCCACUAGCUUUCCUAGUUAGUCAACCAAGGGCGUCCCAUUCCACCCUUGUGGUGGCACAUGUUUCUCAAGUUAAGCUCGAUGUUCCAAUUAACAUAGUUGCCUUAUCAUGAACAAAAAUAGAACAAUAAUAAAGAAUGAUCAUGUGUAAUAGUUAUCUCAACACCCAAAACCAUAUAUAGCAAUAGCAAAAACUACCCAAAAGUUCAUGGGUAAACAAGGUGAAAAGAUAACCAGACUAGGGUGGCCUAUUGGGUCCCAUCAAAAUUAAGCCUAUGCAUGAUAAAAUGAUUAUAAAGAACAUUAUUGGGUAAAUAAAAGUGAUCAAGAGCACAACUUGCCUUCAAUGAGCUCCUGCUCAGCAAACCUGCUAAACACCUAGAUCCUUGGUCACUGGCUCGUCUACUCGCCAUAAUACAAACAAACAUGGUACAAGGGAGAAAUUAACAUCACACCAAACAUGAAUACAAAAUAAAUAAUAGUAAUCUACGCAUCAUAACGAGAUCAUAGGAACAAGAAUCUCUAAAUUCAGAGUUAUGGAUUUUAUGUUAUGAUUUUCCAAAGUAUUUAUGUGUUUGGUACAAAAUUAUCAAAGUGAUUAAUUUUAAUAUGGCUUUCAUGCUAGAACAGUUUUAAUAAGUGAUAAACAAUAUUAACACAAAAUUAUAGGAACUAGAAUGGAUUUGAAAGGAGCUAAAAUGAAUUUCCUAGGAUUUAAACAAGUUUCUGCAAUUAAUUUUGUAGAAAAAAAAUCAUUUUCUAAAUAAAUUUCUCUAUUUUAUUAAUUGUAUGAACUGCGCACAACAUUACCGAGAACUGCAGGGGGUGCACGGUAAAAUCCUGGACCUCUCCGUAACGAUCUUAAUACGGUCUUGAACCGCGGGUUCAUUUCUAUAUAGUUUAGGGGCUCAUGCAAAAAAGUGCACGGCCAAAACGGUAUCAACAGAUCUCGACCGUCCGAUCGGGAAUCAAGGGCUCAGAUUAGAAUCUGGCCACCACAAUCCGGUACGCAACAAGUGCCGUUCGAUCUCUAUACGACGCUCCAGAUUCAAUUAUGCCAAGAUCAACCCUCACCCGAUCGAUUCGAUCGGAUGGCGCACGUUACUCCGGCUGAAACGGUAUCAGCCAUCAAAUCCAGACCGUAGAUCAUGAGAUCUACGGAUCCGACCUCGCCUACCCGUAUCUGAUCUAAGCCGCACGUUGCCAGAUCUACGAUGCUGGUAUCUCUCCCUGACCCGACUCUCUUGCGCGCGGCGGUGACCGGUGAAGGCUCCGCACGGCGGCGAGCCGCCAGCAAACUACCCAACUGGUUGGCUCGAGGUACGCCCAACUUCAAAUCCGGUGAAAAAGGAAGCGCGAGGUGAAACUAUCCAGGGGCUUACCGACGACCGAGGAGAUGGUGGGUGAGCCGGCACGACCCGCAGUGGCCGGACACGGAGAUCCCACGACGGCGGCGAGUUCCCGACCAGCCGAGCACCCACCAUACACGGCAACACCUCGCGCGAGACCCUUCAACGCGACCAAAGCUCCUGAAUUCGCCCCCGAGACUUGAGACGUGGCGAUAUCUCCACCCAGCUACUCUCUCCGGACUUGCUGUCAAUGGCUAUUUCUGGUGGCGGCGCUUUCCUUUUUCUUGUGGCGGCAGAAGGAGGAGAGGGCAAAGGAGAAAGCAAGAGGGUCCUUAGCCCGCUUUUGAAGCAAAGGUGAGGUGCAGUCGUGGUUAGCGGAGGUGUCGCGUGCUCAACCACCCGCCCGAGAUGCG
Molecule: long non-coding RNA, 27775 nt
Filed under: Zea mays
Lineage: Eukaryota; Viridiplantae; Streptophyta; Magnoliopsida; Poales; Poaceae
Description: long non-coding RNA (ZMAY_LNC003144)
Source: RNAcentral